UCGGGUUGUAAAGCACUUUUGUCCGGAAAGAAAUCCUCUGGGUUAAUACCCCGGGGGGAUGACGGUACCGGAAGAAUAAGCACCGGCUAACUACGUGCCAGCAGCGCGGUAAUCGUAGGGUGCGAGCGUUAAUCGGAAUUACUGGGCGUAAAGCGUGCGCAGGCGGUGAUGCAAGACCGAUGUGAAAUCCCCGGGCUCAACCUGGGAACUGCAUUGGUGACUGCAUCGCUAGAGUAUGGCAGAGGGGGGUAGAAUUCCACGUGUAGCAGUGAAAUGCGUAGAGAUGUGGAGGAAUACCGAUGGCGAAGGCAGCCCCCUGGGUCAAUACUGACGCUCAUGCACGAAAGCGUGGGGAGCAAACAGGAUUAGAUACCCUGGUAGUCCACGCCCUAAACGAUGUCAACUGGUUGUCGGGCCUUCAUUGGCUUGGUAACGUAGCUAACGCGUGAAGUUGACCGCCUGGGGAGUACGGUCGCAAGAUUAAAACUCAAAGGAAUUGACGGGGACCCGCACAAGCGGUGGAUGAAUGUGGAUUAAUUCGAUGCAACGCGAAAAACCUUACCUACCCUUGACAUGGAUGGAAUCCCGCUG
RNAcentral lists this ribosomal RNA (591 nucleotides) under uncultured Burkholderia sp. RNAcentral's name for it is "bacterial SSU rRNA". It matches the Rfam family "Bacterial small subunit ribosomal RNA", at positions 418 to 1003 of the family's 1533-position model. The record is from RNAcentral. Lineage: Bacteria; Pseudomonadati; Pseudomonadota; Betaproteobacteria; Burkholderiales; Burkholderiaceae.